GUCUUUGUCUCUUGACUCAAAAGCUGACACAUACGUAACGGCGAUAUGUGGACAAGACGUGGUUCUUCGCUGUCAGGAUACUACAGCGAGUCCAGUUACCCUGGUGGAGUGGCGGAAAUCAACCGUAUCCAGUUGUUACCUGUACUUCUUUCGAAAUCUACGUUCUGUACGACAACUACCAAUGUGACAUGUUUAAAGGCCGAGUGAAGCUGCUCGAGCCGUCCGUGGGAAACGGAAAACUGGUCUGUGAUUCUAAGGAACGUCAGUGUAGCCGACUCAGGGCUAUAUACGUGUGAGCUUACAGCCAGAAACACAACAACUGGCCAGAUUGACGUAUCCGAGGGACGUGUCAACCUCACAGUCUCAGAGCUCACAACGGCUCCUUUUUCACACUCUCCACAACCUAGAGGCCGCCCUGGUAUAAUAGCAGCCCUGAUCCUGUUGCUGACCGUCAUCGCCGUGUUGUGUGGUGUAGUGUGGAUCCGCGCAAACCAAAAACACAAGACCCCUGAGGGCAAAACGUGUUCCAAUGUAUGAGUCUGACCACGUAAUGAAAUGUAUCUGUACCAAGGGUUUUGCAGAGGUACUUGUUGGUAUCAUGUAUAAAAAAAAAUAAAGACACUGUGCUGC
This is a long non-coding RNA of Astatotilapia calliptera (eastern happy), 630 nucleotides long. The record is from Ensembl. NCBI's taxonomy places the organism in Eukaryota, Metazoa, Chordata, Actinopteri, Cichliformes, Cichlidae.